Molecule: transfer RNA, 74 nt
Filed under: Candidatus Paenibacillus intestinavium
Lineage: Bacteria; Bacillati; Bacillota; Bacilli; Caryophanales; Paenibacillaceae
Description: tRNA-Cys
Rfam family: tRNA
About the family: Transfer RNA (tRNA) molecules are approximately 80 nucleotides in length.
Source: RNAcentral
GGGGGUAUAGCCAAAUGGUAAGGCAAGGGUCUGCAAAGCCCUCACUUUUGGUUCGAAUCCAGAUACCCCCUCCA